AUGCGCAUUCACAUGCGUGGCAUCCGUCUUUGGGGUGUUCUUUCUGACGAGGUCUGCUGUCCGCCACGUCUAGUUCCUCCGGUGGCCCCUACUCCGCCAACUCCAUCGGUUCUUCCUACGGAUGCUAAUCAGGCCGCCAAGGAUGCGGCUAAGGUUGCUGAUGAGGCUGCUGAUCGUGCUUAUGAUGAGAGGGUUUUGGCUUAUGAGGAGGCUCUUCAGACGUAUCAUGGUGCUCUGCUGUUUACACCCAGUGGCUUGAUGAUGAUGCUCGUGCUGCAGCUGUUCUCACUGCUAGUGUUCUGCCUCAGUUUGCUUCUGAAUUUCUGGGUCUUUCUACUGUCUUUGAGAUGUGGACACGUCUUCGUGAGCGCUAUCAGCCCUCUGGUGAUGCCUUAUACCUCUCUGUGA
RNAcentral lists this ribosomal RNA (408 nucleotides) under Triticum aestivum (bread wheat). RNAcentral's name for it is "partial small subunit ribosomal RNA". The record is from RNAcentral. Lineage: Eukaryota; Viridiplantae; Streptophyta; Magnoliopsida; Poales; Poaceae.